Molecule: long non-coding RNA, 1029 nt
Filed under: Coturnix japonica (Japanese quail)
Lineage: Eukaryota; Metazoa; Chordata; Aves; Galliformes; Phasianidae
Description: lncRNA (ENSCJPG00005002402.1)
Source: RNAcentral
CCUCAUGGAGGGGUAGGAUAAGGGGGUGUGUUGAGGAGUCUAUGGGAGGGGUAGGAAGGGGGGUAGGGGAGAUAGGGGGUGUUGAGGACUCUAUGGGCUGGAAAUGGGGCUGGAGGAGUCAAUGGAGGAACCAACAGCUCGACAAGGUGAUGGGGGGAUCCCAAAGGAGCUCGAUGGAUGGAGACGGUGUUGGAGGACCCAAUAAUGGCGUUAAAGGUGAAGGAUGAGGCUCCAGAGCAACUCAAUACCAUAGAGAUGGUGUUGGAGGACUCAAAAGUGCCAUUAAAGAUAAAGGAAGAGGCUCCAGAUGACAUUAAUGUGAUGGAGACGGUGUUGGAGGACUCGUCUAUGGUAAUGAGGGGGAUAGAGCGGCCCUCUAAGGCAAUGGAGACGGUGUUGGAGGACUCUAUGAUAGAGAUAAAGGUGAAGGAGGAGGAUCCAGAGCAGCUCGAUACCAUAGAGAUGGUGUUGGAGGACUCAUCUAUGGUAUUGAGUGGGAUAGAGCGGCCUCCCAAGGAGUUGGAGGACUCAUCUAUGGUAUUGAGUGGGAUAGAGCGGCCUACCAAGGUGUUGGAGGACUCAUCUAUGGUAUUGAGUGGGAUAGAGCGGCCUCCCAAGGUGUUGGAGGACUCUAUGGUACUGAGUGGGAUAGAGCGGCCCUCUAAGUCAAUGGAGACGGUGUUGGAGGACUCAUCUAUGGCAUUAAGGGGGAUAGAGCAGCCUUACUUGGAGGACUCUAUGGUACUGGGGGGGAUAGAGCGGCCUACCAAGGUGUUGGAGGACUCAUCUAUGGUACUGAGUGGGAUAGAGCAGCCCUCUAAAUCAAUGGCAACGGUAUUGGAGGACUCAUCUAUGGUACUGAGUGGGAUAGAGCGGCCCUCUAAAUCAAUGGCAACGGUGUUGGAGGACUCAUCUAUGGUACUGGGGGGGAUAGAGCGGCCUCCCAAGGUGUUGGAGGACUCAUGGCCGCCGUUGUCGGUGUGUUACGGGGAGGGGGAGGGGUGAGAAUAAAGAACCUUCGUGUCCCCA